UGGAUCAAUGAUGAUAACUGCCAGCGUAUGAAUCACGGAUGAUGAAUGAUACGUGUCUGGAACUCUGAGGUCCAA
Small nucleolar RNA from Ailuropoda melanoleuca (giant panda), 75 nucleotides. The record is from Ensembl. Lineage: Eukaryota; Metazoa; Chordata; Mammalia; Carnivora; Ursidae.